UCCUCCACUGCCUUCCUGGGCCACAACAGAGCUGGACUGGAAGAGGAGCAACCGGGACUAGAACUGACACCCAUAUGGGAUGCCUGCGCCGCAGGCGGAGGAUUAAGCUAGUGCACAGUGCACGAUGGCGCCGGCCAUUGAUUCUUUCAUUUGCAGAUACUUGUUGAUAUGUAUUCUGUACUCUUCCAGGUUCCUUGUCUACCAUUGUAUAAAGAUAAACAAAGCCGAUGUGGAUCCUGCUUUGUCGAAGUUUUCAUUAAGUAGAGCCUGUGUGCGAAUACGAAUGCACACACACACCAAUGAUCCAAUGAUGCCUCCGGCCAGGAGGGCAAAUCAGCCUCUGCUAUGAACCAGCGCUGCCCCUUGAAAAACAGCCUUCGCUGCUUGGAAGAUUUGAAGCAUGAGAAGCAAACAGCAGAGAGAGUUGAUGUCCAGCACAGUACAGCACCCUGCAAGCCCAGAGGGUGAGUACCCACACUUCCUGACCGUCGUCUUGCCUCCCAGGGGGACUUGGACAAGAAUCUCCUAGCACCUCCAACUCAGUGGGGGACACUGCAGAGCAUAUGGAAGAGAGUGGCACCUGGACCCCUGUCCCAGUCUCCUCCAUUCACAACCAUUCAUAACUGGAAGGGAGCAGCAGGCCUCGUUCCUGGAAUCUAGGGCCACCCCUGCACGGGGACCCUCCCUGGAGUGAGUGGUGCUGCAGAAGUACUCUCCUAGCAGGGACGGUUUGAACCUUUCAUCACCGAAACCACAGUUCCUGAAUGGAGUAAAUUAAUUCUGUGGGUCUCAACUCACAGGUUGGAGCACCCUUGCCUCACAUAAAUGAAUCACAUUAGUUUUCCACACUUUGAUGGCUGACCACAUGCCCCUGUCCAGGCAGGCAGGAAAUGCCAUUGAUGUGGGAACCUAAAUGGGCUCUGAAUGGGUAGGGCCUUUGCAGGCCCCCACAGCUGGGUCACAGCUACAGCAGCCAGGUGCUGUUGGGAAGUGUUUGUUAGGUAAAUGAGGGAGCAGGUGAAGGAAGGUGUGAACAGUGACACAAAAAGCUUUCUUGGUGUCCUUAACAUGCUGGAUUUUUAGGCUCAUUCAUUUGUCAGAGAAGUCUCACCUCUGCUAUGAGGGUAGGUCAAAAUUGCAUCUGCUCCUGCAAGAAACAAACACAUGGAGGCGAAGGCUCAAAAAGGAAGAGGGCUCUUGGCUCCCAGCCCUGAUUUGCCUCUGGUAGCUGUCUGACGUGGGCAGGUGAGGGGGAGUCUUAGGUUUCUGUAGGUUGAGCUUGGUGACACCCACUCUGCCCAUCCCACUGGAGGUUGUAAGGUACACAAGACUGCUCCUGCAGAAAUGCUGCUGAGGAAACUGUCUUAGUUCUUCCUCUCU
RNAcentral lists this long non-coding RNA (1380 nucleotides) under Oryctolagus cuniculus (rabbit). RNAcentral describes it as "lncRNA (ENSOCUG00000037465.1)". The record is from RNAcentral. Lineage: Eukaryota; Metazoa; Chordata; Mammalia; Lagomorpha; Leporidae.